UUGGAGGGCAAGUCUGGUGCCAGCAGCCGCGGUAAUUCCAGCUCCAAUAGCGUAUAUUAAAGUUGUUGCAGUUAAAAAGCUCGUAGUUGAAUUUUGGAUUCGGCCAAUUGGUCCAUCUUUUAGAUGAGUACUGGUUGUGUUGGGUCUAUCCGCCUGGUGAUACGUAAUGUCCUUUAUUGGAUGUUGCGGGUAGUCAGGACCUUUACCUUGAAAAAAUUAGAGUGUUUAAAGCAGGCUUAUGCCGGAAUACAUUAGCAUGGAAUAAUAGAAUAGGACGAAGUUGUUUUAUUUUGUUGGUUUCUAGGACAACCGUAAUGAUUAAUAGGGAUAGUUGGGGGCAUUAGUAUUCAAUUGUCAGAGGUGAAAUUCUUGGAUUUAUUGAAGACUAACUACUGCGAAAGCAUUUGCCAAGGAUGUUUUCAUUAAUCAAGAACGAAAGUUAGGGGAUCGAAGACGAUCAGAUACCGUCGUAGUCUUAACCAUAAACUAUGCCGACUAGGGAUCGGGCGGUGUUGUUUCCAUGACUCGCUCGGCACCUUAUGGGAAACCAAAGUGUUUGGGUUC
Molecule: ribosomal RNA, 564 nt
Filed under: uncultured Glomeromycotina
Lineage: Eukaryota; Fungi; Glomeromycota
Description: SSU rRNA
Rfam family: Eukaryotic small subunit ribosomal RNA
Source: RNAcentral